UAUGAGCGGUAGGGGCAAUCACUGUCUCUGUCAUCUCUCUCUCUUUCUCUCUCUUCUCUCUCUCCUAUUUUUUUUCUCUCUCCCCUUUCAUAGACGGCGGAGCCCCAUUGCCGUAUGUGUUUCAUUUUUUCUUAUUCUCUUUUUCUCUUUUCCUCUUGUGGUCUCGCUUGACCACAAUCUCUCUCUUCUAUCCUUCCUGUGGUCCCUCACGACUACAACCUUCCCCUCUCCCUCCUCGUGGUCCAGCAUGACCACCAAUUUUCUCUUUUCUUUCCUUUUUAUUUCAUGCAUGUCUACUUCCUCCCUGUGAACCCCUCGGGUUCACCUCCUCUUUCUUCUUUUAAUGGUCCCUCAUAUUCAUCCAUUUCCUCUUCUUUUUCUGUACUCUUUAGCAUCACCAUUUCUUUAGUGCACCCUCGUGGUGACUUCCUCCCUUUCACGUCCUGUGGUCACGCGAGACCACAUUUUCUCAACAUCUUACCUAUCUUCGUCUCGUGUACCCAUAUUACCUAUCACCGUUUCAUGCACGCAUCCUACCUAUCGCCGUGUGGACCCAUCUUGCGUAACGAUGUGUGAACCUAUCUCCCCCAUCGCCAUGUGUACCCUUCUUUCCUAACGUCAUGUGUACCUAUCUCCCCCAUCGCCGUGCGUAACCCAUCUUCCCCAACACCGUACACAACCUAUUCUUCCCAUUUUCCGUGCAGCGUUUUUCUCACUGUAAACUUAGCAGUGAACUUUUCAUUUCCGCCACCUCUCUGCAAUCUCUGCCUCUCUCAAAUCGCAGCCCCUGUCCUCACCAGCCCUCAGCCGUCCCCUUCACUCCAUCUGAAAUCAGGCAGCGGCCUGGCUGCCGCGUUCUUCACCCCAAUUCUUCUCUCAUCAACUGCAGCCAUCUCCACCAUUCUCUUCCAACCAUUCCCACCAUCGAAGCCGGUUUCCUCAGCUUUGCCGCCCUCUUUCUUCUCCAUCUCCUCCACCUUGUUGCUCCAACCUCUGCAACCUUUGUUACUCCAACUACCUGCUGUUCACGGCCUCUUCCCUCCAAUUCUCAGUCACCUUCGGCCAGCUUCAGCUACUGCCCCCUUUUCCUCUCUGCUGCAACCAACCCAACCCCGUCCCACCUGAACCGGGCGGCAGCACAGCUGUCAUCUUCGCCUCCACUUUCCUGUACUCCUUCGAUCUCGCCUACCUCCCUUCCCUCGCUGAUUCUCUGCACCCACCUCCGCCACCUGCAAUGUCCCACUUUCUCUUUCUAAAACCCAUCUCACCGCAUCUUCUUCUUUUCCCUUUCUCUACUCUUCGUUGCGUUUCGUUUUAUUCCCUUUUGUCAUAUUUUUUGUCCCUCAUCCAAUCCCCUCAUCGAGCGCUCACCACCCAAUCUCUCAAAACCCAAUAUCCAACUCCUCGUGUCUCCUUCUCUCUCUAAACCCACUAACCCAAUACCCAAAUCCCUCUCUCUUAACUAAUCUACGUAAAACCAAACAAAAACUAUUUCGUUCAAGCACUCCUUAUUUUAUUCAUAUAAAACC
RNAcentral lists this long non-coding RNA (1529 nucleotides) under Amborella trichopoda. RNAcentral describes it as "long non-coding RNA (ATRI_LNC000072)". The record is from RNAcentral. Lineage: Eukaryota; Viridiplantae; Streptophyta; Magnoliopsida; Amborellales; Amborellaceae.